RNAcentral lists this ribosomal RNA (1817 nucleotides) under uncultured organism. Its description in RNAcentral is "16S ribosomal RNA". It matches the Rfam family "Bacterial small subunit ribosomal RNA". The record is from RNAcentral.
GAGUUUGAUCCUGGCUCAGAACGAACGCUGGCGGCAGGCCUAAUACAUGCAAGUCGAGCGCGCCUUCGGGCGAGCGGCGGACGGGUUAGUAACGCGUGGGAAUGUGCCCUUCACUGCGGAAUAGCCUCUGGAAACGGAGAGUAAUACCGCAUACGCCCUUAGGGGGAAAGAUUUAUCGGUGAAGGAUCAGCCCGCGUCUGAUUAGAUAGUUGGUGGGGUAAUGGCCUACCAAAUCUACGAUCAGUAGCUGGUUUGAGAGGAUGAUCAGCAACACUGGGACUGAGACACGGCCCAGACUCCUACGGGAGGCAGCAGUAGGGAAUCUUGGACAAUGGGCGCAAGCCUGAUCCAGCCAUGCCGCGUGAGUGAAGAAGGCCUUAGGGUCGUAAAGCUCUUUCGCUAGGGAUGAUAAUGACAGUACCUAGUAAAGAAACCCCGGCUAACUCCGUGCCAGCAGCCGCGGUAAUACGGAGGGGGUUAGCGUUGUUCGGAAUUACUGGGCGUAAAGCGCGCGUAGGCGGAUUGGAAAGUUGGGGGUGAAAUCCCAGGGCUCAACCCUGGAACUGCCUUCAAAACUAACAGUCUAGAGUUCGAGAGAGGUGAGUGGAAUUCCGAGUGUAGAGGUGGAAUUCGUAGAUAUUCGGAGGAACACCAGUGGCGAAGGCGGCUCACUGGCUCGAUACUGACGCUGAGGCGCGAAAGUGUGGGGAGCAAACAGGAUUAGAUACCCUGGUAGUCCACACCGUAAACGAUGAAUGCCAGAUGUUGGACAGCAUGCUGUUCAGUGUCACACCUAACGGAUUAAGCAUUCCGCCUGGGGAGUACGGUCGCAAGAUUAAAACUCAAAGGAAUUGACGGGGGCCCGCACAAGCGGUGGAGCAUGUGGUUUAAUUUCGAGCGACGCGCAGAACCUUUACCACCCUUGACAUCCUGUGUUAUAUUCAGAGAUGGAUAGUUCCCUUCGGGGACGCAGUGACAGGUGCUGCAUGGCUGUCGUGUAGAGGUGGAAUUCGUAGAUAUUCGGAGGAACACCAGUGGCGAAGGCGGCUCACUGGCUCGAUACUGACGCUGAGGCGCGAAAGUGUGGGGAGCAAACAGGAUUAGAUACCCUGGUAGUCCACACCGUAAACGAUGAAUGCCAGAUGUUGGACAGCAUGCUGUUCAGUGUCACACCUAACGGAUUAAGCAUUCCGCCUGGGGAGUACGGUCGCAAGAUUAAAACUCAAAGGAAUUGACGGGGGCCCGCACAAGCGGUGGAGCAUGUGGUUUAAUUCGAAGCGACGCGCAGAACCUUACCAACCCUUGACAUCCUGUGUUAUAUUCAGAGAUGGAUAGUUCCCUUCGGGGACGCAGUGACAGGUGCUGCAUGGCUGUCGUCAGCUCGUGUCGUGAGAUGUUCGGUUAAGUCCGGCAACGAGCGCAACCCACAUCUUUAGUUGCCAGCAGUUCGGCUGGGCACUCUAAAGAAACUGCCCGUGAUAAGCGGGAGGAAGGUGUGGAUGACGUCAAGUCCUCAUGGCCCUUACGGGUUGGGCUACACACGUGCUACAAUGGUGGUGACAAUGGGUUAAUCCCAAAAAGCCAUCUCAGUUCGGAUUGGGGUCUGCAACUCGACCCCAUGAAGUCGGAAUCGCUAGUAAUCGCGUAACAGCAUGACGCGGUGAAUACGUUCCCGGGCCUUGUACACACCGCCCGUCACACCAUGGGAGUUGGUUUUACCCGACGACGGUGCGCUAACCCUUACGGGAAGCAGCCGGCCACGGUAGGAUCAGCGACUGGGGUGAAGUCGUAACAAGGUAGCCCUAGGGGAACCUGGG